Molecule: long non-coding RNA, 1946 nt
Organism: Triticum aestivum (bread wheat)
Lineage: Eukaryota; Viridiplantae; Streptophyta; Magnoliopsida; Poales; Poaceae
Exons: 2
Source: RefSeq, a predicted model, not a curated record
UAACCCUAAUCCCCAUUCUCUCCUCCGUUCCCUCAGCCGCCACAACUGCCCACUCCUGAUUCCGGCGAUUCUGGCAGCUAUCGCCGGCGCGGUGCACGCCGCCUCUACCGCUCGCCGAAAUCCCACACCCGUGCUAGGGUUUCGGCCUCUCUCAUCGCCUUCGUUAUUGGCGCAUGUCCGACGGCCUCUGGCGGCUCUUCUCCACCGUCUUUAGCGCCCCCACGUGCGCCCUCGCCUUCUGAUGUUCCACCUCGAGCAGGGCGGCGCGGAGGAUCUCCUCCCGCAGGAUCCACAGACGUGGCGCACCCUGCAGCCGCCUGUCCGGGAGGAGGGCGGACACUGUGUCCUUGUCCUGCUCGAUGACGGUCGCGGCGAACGUCGGUGCUGCUCCUCAUUCUCGACCUUCAAGGAGGAGCACUGGUACAGCAGAAGCACGCCCUUCCCCUGAACAAUCGCCAUGGCGUCAGGUAAGGUUGUGCUGCCGUGCCUAUAUUGCGUGGAGUAAACAAUUUGAUGGGACAGAUUGCUUGUGCUAGAUGUGGUUAGUCUGUAGUGGUCAUCUUGUUUUUAAUUUUGGGGACACAUUGCUGCUUGUGCUGUCAAAUAUGCAAUUUAAUCUUUUACCAGAAGCGGGCUGCCUGCUUCGCUGCGCCGCUCUUUUUCCAGGUUAACAAUCCGUUUGUUUAGUUGUUCGUGGGUCUGUUGCGCCUUUUUGCUGGGUGUUGGGCGUUGCCCUGCUAGAUGCAUAUAAUAUUUGCAUCUAUACACACCUGUGUUGAGCAUUGGUAAUCAUGAUUUUCAGUAUCCCUGAAUUACAAGCUCAGGCAAGAGCAUACCAAUUCUGGUGUUGUCACUACAAAAUAUGUACAGCAAAGGGCGAAACAAUAAUCAAAUACUGUGAGCGUGUUCAAUCUAUAUUAUCAUAUACAAAUCAUUCUUUCUUAAAAAAUCUAUAUUGUUAGAAGAGUGUUCAAAGAUUUACUUAUUCAAAUAACUCUAUCGAUUGUAUAAAUAAGGGAUCAAACUGUCAAAUAGAAUGGAUCCUGAAGAAAUGCUAAUGCCAAUUAUAUUUAGAGAAAAACUUACCAAUUAAUUGGCAAUAAAAUCAUAGCUGCAGCCUGCAGUACGGAGUUGUUGAUAUUUAUCCGAGGUUACAGCUGUAGCCUACACAAUCUUAAUACACACAUAGGAGAAGAGAACUUGAAGGUGGGAAUUCUGAACCAUAUAUAGUUGUAGCUGGAUAUAAAGAUAAAAAAUAACAUAUAUGAUAUAGACACAGGACCUGUUCUACAACCAGCACUCAGCAAUUACAAGUAACACAAACAUGCACAAGACUUCGCUGAAUAAUUUGAAGCACUGGAGAUAACAUACGAAGCAACAAAAUGAUGCCUUUUGGUUACUUGGUGUACUUGGCUGUACUAUUUAUUAGGGUUGAUUUCUGUCCUACUAAUGACUACUGCCUUCUCCACCCAUCCAAUGGUGUACAUGACGUCCUCCUCCUUGACGCGGCUGUCCCCAACGAGCUCUCUCCUCCGGAGGAGGUGAAGCAGCUUGUCCAGCACCCCCUUGGCCUCCUAUCCUGCACCACAUGAACGAGCUCACCGACGGUUGCGUUCUGCCCUCCUAGCGUGAUAUUGGUUAUGGCAGCAUUUUCAACAAGAAAGACAUGCGUUUUGACAACUUUGGCAUGGACGGGUGGAUCUGCUGCUUGGAAGACCCCUAGUUGGUGUGUGGCCGCCUGAUAAGAGUGGCCAUCGCUUGGUGGGCGUGGUGCUGGUUGUAGAGUAGGAUAGUGUUCUUCGUGACAUGCUUGUAAAAUUAAGGUUUUUUGGGUCUUUUUUUCCGCUCCUGUACAAGUGUAUUUUUGGAUCUGUUGUUGUAAUUUUCUUUUUCUAAUGACAUGAGCAUAUACUUUCUGUCAAAUUCUUAUUGGCGUAAAUUUUCCA